GAUGAACGCUGGCGGCGUGCCUAACACAUGCAAGUCGAACGGUAGCACAGGAGAGCUUGCUCUCUGGGUGGCGAGUGGCGGACGGGUGAGGAAUACAUCGGAAUCUACUUUUUCGUGGGGGAUAACGUAGGGAAACUUACGCUAAUACCGCAUACGACCUACGGGUGAAAGCAGGGGAUCUUCGGACCUUGCGCGAUUGAAUGAGCCGAUGUCGGAUUAGCUAGUUGGCGGGGUAAAGGCCCACCAAGGCGACGAUCCGUAGCUGGUCUGAGAGGAUGAUCAGCCACACUGGAACUGAGACACGGUCCAGACUCCUACGGGAGGCAGCAGUGGGGAAUAUUGGACAAUGGGCGCAAGCCUGAUCCAGCCAUACCGCGUGGGUGAAGAAGGCCUUCGGGUUGUAAAGCCCUUUUGUUGGGAAAGAAAUCCAGCUGGUUAAUACCCGGUUGGGAUGACGGUACCCAAAGAAUAAGCACCGGCUAACUUCGUGCCAGCCGCCGCCGUAA
Molecule: ribosomal RNA, 506 nt
Filed under: uncultured bacterium
Lineage: Bacteria
Description: partial 16S ribosomal RNA
Rfam family: Bacterial small subunit ribosomal RNA
Source: RNAcentral